ACGGAAGGCAGCAGUGGGGGAUAUUGCACAAUGGGGGAAACCCUGAUGCAGCGACGCCGCGUGAGUGAAGAAGUAUUUCGGUAUGUAAAGCUCUAUCAGCAGGAAAGAAAAUGACGGUACCUGACUAAGAAGCCCCGGCUAACUACGUGCCAGCAGCCGCGGUAAUACGUAGGGGGCAAGCGUUAUCCGGAUUUACUGGGUGUAAAGGGAGCGUAGACGGCUUUGCAAGUCUGAAGUGAAAGCCCGGGGCUCAACCCCGGAACUGCUUUGGAAACUGUAGAGCUAGAGUGCAGGAGAGGUAAGUGGAAUUCCUAGUGUAGCGGUGAAAUGCGUAGAUAUUAGGAGGAACACCAGUGGCGAAGGCGGCUUACUGGACUGUAACUGACGUUGAGGCUCGAAGGCGUGGGGAGCAAACAGGAUUAGAUACCCUGGUA
RNAcentral lists this ribosomal RNA (434 nucleotides) under uncultured Lachnospiraceae bacterium. Its description in RNAcentral is "partial 16S ribosomal RNA". It matches the Rfam family "Bacterial small subunit ribosomal RNA", at positions 341 to 792 of the family's 1533-position model. The record is from RNAcentral. Lineage: Bacteria; Bacillati; Bacillota; Clostridia; Lachnospirales; Lachnospiraceae.